RNAcentral lists this long non-coding RNA (1191 nucleotides) under Anser brachyrhynchus (Pink-footed goose). Its description in RNAcentral is "lncRNA (ENSABRG00000020428.1)". Lineage: Eukaryota; Metazoa; Chordata; Aves; Anseriformes; Anatidae. The record is from RNAcentral.
AUGCAUGAGCAGCAAAUGUGAUUUCUUCCUCUUUUCUCCUUCCAGUCAAUGCCACUUUCACUCUUGAGCUGAAGGGACUUACAACAUCAGUUAAUUCUGUUUUUAAAAUCAGCAGUCCUCUGAUCUGAAAAUUUGGUGAACUGAGCGUACCUCAUGAAACAGACCUUUCCGUGGGAUUCCAAAUUCUGCUUUUAUUAUUUCUUCCCGAGCCCCUGCGCUGCCGCAGAGCAGUAAGAGUGCCCGGCGCCGGGAGCGCGUCUGUAUUGCAGCAGGUAGGGCUGAGCGCUAGGACCUCGGAGAAUCCUUCCAGCAGCAAUCAGGACUACCUUAAACCCAGCCCAAUGCCUCUUCCUGCGCCACUCUGCGUGCUGGAUGGAGAUCCACAGUCAAGAGCUGCAGCUCAGUGCUGGAGUACAACAUUUCACAGGGAGCCCUGCAGAAGCAACACCUGUUUCGAGCCAGCCAAGAAAGGCACAAGCACUUGUAUGUUGCUGCUUUGCUUGUGGAUCGGCAAUAACCCUAAACCAGUGGACAUCUGCUGAGCCUCCUGAGAAUUCUGGAUAAUAGAUUUGGACGUCAAAAGUUUUAUUUUUUAAUUUUUUUGUGCCUUUUGCCUUUUUUUCCUUUCCAUUUUUUUUUUUUUUUGGAUUUAUCUCAGCCAACAACGUGAGAUUUCCCCCCUCCCCCUUUGCAGGAUUCAUGCUGAUGUAUGCAGUCUGUUAUAGAGUAAAAACAGCGCAUGCCUUUCUGGAGUCAGAAUCCAUAAAUCCUGACGUAGCCUGUGCAUCUUAAAAAAAAAAAUCCCUAUAACGCCUAGGUAUUUAAGUUGCUAUGGUCAUUCUUAUCUUAAACCAAAUGGAGAAACUACGGAUUUUUUUCUUUAUUACAGUUGGAUGGGCUGAAGACCUUAUUGCUUGCUAAGAGCUGGGGAUAUAUGCAUUUAUAUAGAUAUACACAUCUAUAUGUUUAUAAAUAUGUCAGUGUGUGAGUAUAAAGUGGUGGUUUCUUAGACUAACUGGUUUGACCUUGAACCUGUACCAGUCAAAACAGAAUAUUACUUUUAUUUAUGCAUUUAAUGGAUUGAAGAAAGAACAUUUUCUCUGUAACUGCGCUAGGGAGGGGAGAGGAGUGGAAUAUACCUAAUCUUAUAUCUCCUGGGUUUGGCACCAUCAUUAUUGUUUAUUCUUAUUC